This is a long non-coding RNA of Beta vulgaris subsp. vulgaris (sugar beet), 612 nucleotides long. RefSeq lists it as uncharacterized. Lineage: Eukaryota; Viridiplantae; Streptophyta; Magnoliopsida; Caryophyllales; Amaranthaceae. The transcript has 2 exons. The record is from RefSeq and is a predicted model, not a curated record.
UACGUUAUCAUGAUAUCAUUAACUCAUAUCCCAGAUCGGGUACUACGACACUUGGAUUAUGUUCACGUCAUUUCUUCCCCGAUCUUGAGGCCCGAACAUGCAUAGAGACCUAAACACCUGAAGAAGUAUGAGCUUGAGUUUUCGACAGCAACAACCGAGUCAGCAUGGCAGCGGUUCACUCAAUGUUGGGGUAGUCGACAUGUCUCAGCAUUUAGACGAGUCGGUCGUCUUCAUGAUUGUUCAUCGAACUACAAAUACAUGUAUAGCACAUAUAGUCAUCCACUCAUGAUUGAUGAUGAGAGCUUCAAUAUAUAUCGAACUGACCGGACCCUACAAACACACACUACUGGAUGGGUUGGUGGUUUAGUUCGACGAGAGCUUUGGUAGAAGAUCAACAUAAUGAUCGACGACCUACCACAGCUACUUUAUAUGAGAUGAUGGAUGAUUUUGCUCGAGAAUGGGAUUUGGCACUUUAGUUGAACCAAGCACCUGAUGCUGCUUUGUAGUUUUGAUUUAUCGAUUUUCAUAUCAGUGUUUUCAGUUGAUAUACUUUCUAUAACUUUGAUUUUGUUUGACGUGAUAUACUAUAUUUUUAGAUAUUACUUUGUGAUG